RNAcentral lists this unclassified non-coding RNA (228 nucleotides) under Hevea brasiliensis (rubber tree). The record is from RNAcentral. Lineage: Eukaryota; Viridiplantae; Streptophyta; Magnoliopsida; Malpighiales; Euphorbiaceae.
AGAUGGCAUGCCCGUGGAUGUAGCUCAAUAUUGAGAGGUUGAACCACAUAAAUGUUAGUGUUUUGUGUGUUUAUUUUGUUUCUUUGCAGUUUAUACGCUUCCACGAUGUACAACACAAAUGCUUAAGGGAGGUUCAACCAUCUAUAAUUGUAGCAUAUUUGGCCAAAAUAAAGAAAACAGAUAUACAACAUAAAUAAAUGAAUUACCUUAUCAGGAGUAGAGGCACCA